CCCCACUCUCGCGUCUCUAUCUUGCAUCUGGAGCAUCUGAACAUCUCUUGCUCCUGUAUUACCAAAAGUUAUACGAUCAUCACAAGAAAAAUACAAACACAAACACAAACAAAUAUGGAUAAGCUACCAUAGAACAACAAGUAACAAUAAAUUAUGUACACAAAAAGCUAACACAACUUAAUAACAAAUCAAUCAUUUACAGUGUUGUCCUACUAAUAGAAUUAUUUAUACCAUGAUCAUCAUCAACAUCCUCAUUAACUAUAUCAUGACUAUACCAUCAAUGCCAUCCUUACCAACAUUGUCUCCAAACACAUCGUCACUACAAAUCAUUAUCACAUGUACCUCCAUCAAAACUAACCUCAUCAUGAAUCAUUCAUCAUGAAAAACACCAUGAGUCUCCACAAUACUAUAACUCCAUAGUGAAAGGAAUCAGUCAUACUCUUGUACCCUACCUCACAAACUUGUAGCCUCCCCUAUAAGUCCCCUAUGGUAUGCUCGAGUAGUCUCGCCAUCUUGGCUAAGGAACAUGUUUCCUACCACACAAGGACAAGGCAAACAUCAUCACCCCUAUACAAAGAAGGUUCAAUACCCGAACCCAUUUUCGCACACAAGGGCAAAGGGAAUCGUUAUCUCGUAUAAAACAAACGAUAAUCUUAGACUUUACUAGGUACAACAAGUGGACUUUUCCUUACUUUUAUGUUCAUCAACCACAUAUUUAAGUACAUUCCAAUAUCAAUAAAAUUUCUUCAUAUACCUAAAUACAACAAUCAUUAUCAUUCUCUCCCUAAUACUAUACAUUCAUCAUUAUUUAAAGUCUCAUUUAAAACCCCACAUACUUAACAUGAACCCCAUGUGAGUUCCACUCCAAGUUACAAAAUAAAUAAAUAUCACUUAAUAACAAACAAAAUAAUAAAUCAUUUAUUAUUCUAAUUAAUAAUUGCAACUUCAUUAUUUUCCUCUUUAAACCCAAUUAAUAUUUAUUUUCAAUUUAAUCAGAGGUUAAUUAAUUAAUUUUAUUUUCCAUUAUUUUAAUUUUAGAGACAGAAGUUUUUAAUUUAAAUUCUCUUUAUUUCGUUCUUAUUUUUAUUUUAGGGGUUCCUUUUCAAAUCUUUGCAACCAUGGUUCUCACAGCCCAAAAGUCCAACCCAAUUCAAAACAUAACUCGGCCCAAGGACUUCACGGGCCAGUCGCCACAACACCCAAGGCCACACCCAUCAGCACCUCCAUUGACACCGCUUGUGCAACCAACAACAAUCACCAUCAUGAGAAAGAGCUCUCCAAUGCGAAUCAAAGGAAAACCCAAAACACAAACUCAGAACCACACAAAAUCGAAAAUGAACUCCAUAUUCACAAAACGCAAAAACAGAACAAGCUCAAAAACCCCAAUUUCAAUCAUCUCAAUUCUAAUUACAUUAGAGAAAUCCCUGAUUUGCAAGAACACAUUACAUACCCUAACCUCUAAUUCGUGAGACCCAAACCUGAAGAGAAGAUUCAAAAGGAGACACCCAAAAUCGCAACAAUCAGGAAACCCACUUUCAACAUCGAUUCCAUACGCGAAAACUCAUUCAAGCCCUAGUCACCACAAAGAUGCCUUUAAACGAAACCCUCGUCGCGAAGUCGCCUGAAAUCAAGCUCUUGUUGAGACUCCUCUUCUUUACCACGAGAAAGGAGUUUUCUCCUGGUCCGACGAAACUCCACUAGGCCAAAUGAAGAAGAAAUGAAGAACGCUCCCUGAGUCGUGUCAUCGGUGCUCCUCCGGCUACGCUCUCGUCGCACCCUCGUCGCGCCAUCGCUUUGCCAUCACUGUCGUGAGAUCGUUGCCUCUGCUCAAGACACAGAUCAUCCUCGGCCCCAAUGUUGGGUCGUCUACGGUGGAGAGAAAGACAGAAACUUCGAGCAUCUAGCUUGAGUGUGAUGAUGAAGAAAGAGAAAGGACAAAAUGAGGGCAACUUGUGUUUGCCCUUCAAAAGGGAUAGAGUGGUUCAUCACCU
RNAcentral lists this long non-coding RNA (1991 nucleotides) under Vigna radiata. RNAcentral describes it as "long non-coding RNA (VRAD_LNC012646)". The record is from RNAcentral. Lineage: Eukaryota; Viridiplantae; Streptophyta; Magnoliopsida; Fabales; Fabaceae.